This 332-nucleotide ribosomal RNA is filed under the name uncultured eukaryote. Its description in RNAcentral is "partial 18S ribosomal RNA". It matches the Rfam family "Eukaryotic small subunit ribosomal RNA", at positions 1470 to 1796 of the family's 1831-position model. The record is from RNAcentral.
CCCUUAGAUGUCCUGGGCCGCACGCGCGUUACACUGAUGCAUUCAACGAGCUUAUAACCUUGGCCGAGAGGCCUGGGCAAUCUUGUUAACGUGCAUCGUGAUAGGGAUAGAUUAUUGAAAUUAUUAAUCUUGAACGAGGAAUUCCUAGUAAACGCAGAUCAUCAAUCUGCAUUGAUUACGUCCCUGCCCUUUGUACACACCGCCCGUCGCUACUACCGAUCGAGCGCCCUAGCGAGGUCGUCCGAUUGUCGCCGAGGCCGGCUUUCGCGAGCUGCGCAUCCGACGAAAAGGCGAUCGAACUCGAGCGCUUAGAGGAAGUAAAAGUCGUAACA